This is an RNA transcript of Salvia splendens (bonfire salvia), 1856 nucleotides long. RefSeq lists it as uncharacterized. The transcript has 3 exons. The record is from RefSeq and is a predicted model, not a curated record. NCBI's taxonomy places the organism in Eukaryota, Viridiplantae, Streptophyta, Magnoliopsida, Lamiales, Lamiaceae.
CUUAGUCUUUAACUAGCCAUCAAAGUGAUUGGGCCAGUUUUCAAUCAAACUUGAAAACCCAAAACCUUCAUACCUUCUCGCAAUUCACUCACUAAAACACACACACACAAAACCUCUCUGAAAUCCGGUGGAGCGGAAUCGCCGCCGCAGCUGCAGUAGCUUCGUCUUUGCACAAUUAAUCUAGCAUUCAAAUUCCCAACUCUAAUAGUAAUUAAGAUCAGAUCCUCCGCGCCUCUUUUUUCUUCUUCGCAAGAUUUCUCCUCCUCCAAGCUUCUUCUUCUCUACGGUAUUUCUCUGCCCUUAUUAAAUUUUCUAAUCCGCAAAAAAGUAUCUUUAGAUUAGAUGCUCAAUUUCUUGCCUUGUUAUCAGUAAUAAGCAAAAACUGUCGAUGCUUAGUAACUACAAAAAUCUCUUGCGGUAAUGAUGUUGCGAUCCGAGCUCGAAGCCAACGAUAUCGCAAUGAUCACCACAAACCACACAACAACAGCAAACAACACAACCACGCGCAAACACACGCAACAGAGCAAUCGAGCUAAGAUAGAUAGAUCUGAGCAAUCGAAUGUAUAUUGCAAAAGAGGAAUUACGAAUAGCAAUAACAAGCAAGUAACACCACGAUAACAAUGAGAAUGAAAACUGAGAACUGCUACAAGCAAGUAACACCACGAUAACAAUGAGAAUGAAAACUGAGAACUGCUACGGAUCACGGAUCCUAGCCCCAAUCAACAAUCACACAACUAACAUAACAAAUGAGAGUGUGGUCCUUCCUUUUAUAAUUCACGCAAUGUGCACCGCGUCCGCCUAUAUUCCCAUGUGCCCCCGCUCAGCGAACUCACGUACUCCCCUUUCUCAUGCCAGCUCGGAUGUCCACGUGGACCUAUUAUUAUCCGCAUACGGACCCUUAUUCCUUCAUUGCAUGACGCGGUUAUUGUGCAUGCAACAACACUCCCCCUUAAGGUUCCUUGUCCUCAAGGAACCAAGGAAAACGUGCUUUGAUUUCAUCCGCAUAUUCCCACGAAGCAUCCGCGGGUGAGUACCCCUCCCAAUGUAUGAGCCACUAAGUAACAGCUUGGUUGUUUCUUUUCCCCAUCUUUCUUUCAAGUAUAGCCUAUGGCAGAGCAUCCUUAGGGCCUGUUCAAGUAACAUGAUAUGAGCAGAAAUGAGCUUAUUUCUUGGACUUAUUGGCUGUUCAAGGUACAAGGUUUAGGCUACUGACGCCCGCAGAUAACUUUCGGGCCCGCAUUGUUCAUAUGGGAAAUAUGCCAAAUCCAAUUCUGACGAUGGAGGUGCUUUUUGAUUUCUGCAUAGAAAUUUGGAUCCAGUAAUGGAUGGGAGAUUACCAUUUUGCCUAUGAAAUUUUAAAAUCACCCUUGCUAGCUCUCUCAUUUUCCCCCCUUCAACUAAUGUCGACCCAACCCUAGCUCUGCAUAAAUCGAUUCCAAACGGUGCUCAGAGCUGAAUUGGUUGUGCACGGAAGAGUUUCGGCGGUGACUUUCCCCAAUCACCCCAGAAUCCUGAAAGUUACAAAAUCAGAGGCUAUACGUCGUCAUCGUGCUCCUGAUCUGCUCCUCUGUAAGCCUAGCAAUAUGCCUCGUAAAGAAGAAACGCCAGAAUGCGUUUGCGGGAGUGGGAAAAUGGAACUUAAGCGUGUCGGGCCGGCAGCGAUGAAUGCAGGCCGGUACUACCUGAAGUGCCCAGUCGAAGGGAAGCAUCCUGGGUCUUUUAAGUGGUUUGAUUAGGUGGUCGGUGACAAUUCGCUUCGCAGCUGCAAUAUCUAGGCUGAGCUAGUUAACCGCCCUCGAGAUGUACGUGGAACAUAGACUAUAUCUGAAGCAACGUCCCACUCCGUGAUAAGUGAU